GUGAGGAAUAUUGCGCAAUGGAGGCAACUCUGACGCAGCCAUGCCGCGUGCAGGAAGAAGGCGCUACGCGUUGUAAACUGCUUUUAACCGGGAAGAAACCCCAGGACGUGUCCUGGGUUGACGGUACCGGAGGAAUAAGCACCGGCUAACUUCGUGCCAGCAGCCGCGGUAAUACGAAGGGUGCAAGCGUUAUCCGGAUUCAUUGGGUUUAAAGGGUGCGUAGGCGGAGCGUUAAGUCAGUGGUGAAAUCCUGCAGCUUAGCUGUAGACUUGCCAUUGAUACUGGCGCUCUUGAGUGCGCUUGAAGUGGGCGGAAUGUGCCGUGUAGCGGUGAAAUGCUUAGAUAUGGCACAGAACACCAAUUGCGAAGGCAGCUCACUAAGGCGAUACUGACGCUGAGGCACGAAAGCGUGGGGAUCGAACAGGAUUAGAUACCCCAGUAGUCC
RNAcentral lists this ribosomal RNA (445 nucleotides) under uncultured bacterium. RNAcentral's name for it is "partial 16S ribosomal RNA". It matches the Rfam family "Bacterial small subunit ribosomal RNA", at positions 354 to 796 of the family's 1533-position model. The record is from RNAcentral.